RNAcentral lists this ribosomal RNA (435 nucleotides) under uncultured archaeon. RNAcentral describes it as "bacterial SSU rRNA". It matches the Rfam family "Bacterial small subunit ribosomal RNA", at positions 608 to 1029 of the family's 1533-position model. The record is from RNAcentral.
CCCAACUGAGGAAAGUUCGUCGAAACUGGUAGGCUCGAGGGACACAGAGGGAGGUGGAACUCUCGGAGUAGCGGUGGAAUGCGCAGAUACCGAGAGGUACCUCGAUGGCGAAGGCAGCCUCCUGGGUGUCUCCUGACGCUGAAGCGCUAAGGCCAGGGGAGCGAAGGGGAUUAGAUACCCCCGUAGUCCUGGCUUCAAACGAUGUGAGCUAGGUAUCGGGCCGUAAUAAAUGGUUCGUUGCCGUAGCUAACGCGUUAAGCUCACCGCCUGGGGAUUACGUCCGCAAGGAUGAAACUCAAGGGAAUUGACGGGGGCCCACACAACCGGUGGAGCACGUGGUUUAAUUCGAUGAUAAGCGAAGAACCUUACCAGGAUUUGACAUGCCGGUAGUAGAACCCCGAAAGGGGAACGAGCCUGGACUCUGUCCAGGUAGCC